GGAUUAGGCAUGCAAGUCGCACGGCAAACCAAUUUUCGGAUUGGGAGUAAGUGGCGAAAGGGUGAGUAAUGCGUGGACAACCUGCCCUCGAGCCGGGGAUAGCGGUCCGAAAGGUCCGGUAAUACCCGAUGACGCCACGCGGUUUUUCCGCGUGGUUAAAGGUGGCCUCUUCUAAGCUACCACUCGUGGAGGGGUUCACGUCCUAUCAGUUCGUUGGUAGGGUAACGGCCUACCAAGACUACGACGGGUAGCGGGCCUGAGAGGGUGGCCCGCCACACUGGGACUGAGACACUGCCCAGACUCCUACGGGAGGCUGCAGUCGAGAAUCAUUCGCAAUGCCCGAAAGG
This 347-nucleotide ribosomal RNA is filed under the name uncultured anaerobic ammonium-oxidizing bacterium. RNAcentral's name for it is "bacterial SSU rRNA". It matches the Rfam family "Bacterial small subunit ribosomal RNA", at positions 46 to 382 of the family's 1533-position model. The record is from RNAcentral.